GAUGAACGCUGACAGAAUGCUUAACACAUGCAAGUCUUUGGCGAAGCUGUGCUUGCACCGCCUAGCCAAGGCGGACGGGUGAGUAACGCGUAAGGAACUUGCCCUGCAGUCAGGGAUAACAGACGGAAACGACUGAUAAGACCUGGUAAAGUCAGGCGGACUCAUGUCCAGCCUGAUGAAAAGUGAUGCUGCAGGAGAGCCUUGCGUCCUAUUAGCUUGUUGGUGGGGUAACGGCCCACCAAGGCGAUGAUAGGUAGCCGGCCUGAGAGGGUGGACGGCCACAAGGGGACUGAGAUACGGCCCUUACUCCUACGGGAGGCAGCAGUGGGGAAUAUUGGACAAGGGGGGCAACCCUGAUCCAGCAAUUCUGUGUGCACGAUGAAGGUUUUCGGAUUGUAAAGUGCUUUCAGCAGGGAAGAAAAAAAUGACGGUACCUGCAGAAGAAGCGACGGCUAAAUACGUG
This 463-nucleotide ribosomal RNA is filed under the name uncultured bacterium. RNAcentral's name for it is "partial 16S ribosomal RNA". It matches the Rfam family "Bacterial small subunit ribosomal RNA", at positions 28 to 507 of the family's 1533-position model. The record is from RNAcentral.